RNAcentral lists this ribosomal RNA (1387 nucleotides) under Lactiplantibacillus plantarum. Its description in RNAcentral is "bacterial SSU rRNA". It matches the Rfam family "Bacterial small subunit ribosomal RNA", at positions 64 to 1438 of the family's 1533-position model. Lineage: Bacteria; Bacillati; Bacillota; Bacilli; Lactobacillales; Lactobacillaceae. The record is from RNAcentral.
GGUGCUUGCAUCAUGAUUUACAUUUGAGUGAGUGGCGAACUGGUGAGUAACACGUGGGAAACCUGCCCAGAAGCGGGGGAUAACACCUGGAAACAGAUGCUAAUACCGCAUAACAACUUGGACCGCAUGGUCCGAGCUUGAAAGAUGGCUUCGGCUAUCACUUUUGGAUGGUCCCGCGGCGUAUUAGCUAGAUGGUGGGGUAACGGCUCACCAUGGCAAUGAUACGUAGCCGACCUGAGAGGGUAAUCGGCCACAUUGGGACUGAGACACGGCCCAAACUCCUACGGGAGGCAGCAGUAGGGAAUCUUCCACAAUGGACGAAAGUCUGAUGGAGCAACGCCGCGUGAGUGAAGAAGGGUUUCGGCUCGUAAAACUCUGUUGUUAAAGAAGAACAUAUCUGAGAGUAACUGUUCAGGUAUUGACGGUAUUUAACCAGAAAGCCACGGCUAACUACGUGCCAGCAGCCGCGGUAAUACGUAGGUGGCAAGCGUUGUCCGGAUUUAUUGGGCGUAAAGCGAGCGCAGGCGGUUUUUUAAGUCUGAUGUGAAAGCCUUCGGCUCAACCGAAGAAGUGCAUCGGAAACUGGGAAACUUGAGUGCAGAAGAGGACAGUGGAACUCCAUGUGUAGCGGUGAAAUGCGUAGAUAUAUGGAAGAACACCAGUGGCGAAGGCGGCUGUCUGGUCUGUAACUGACGCUGAGGCUCGAAAGUAUGGGUAGCAAACAGGAUUAGAUACCCUGGUAGUCCAUACCGUAAACGAUGAAUGCUAAGUGUUGGAGGGUUUCCGCCCUUCAGUGCUGCAGCUAACGCAUUAAGCAUUCCGCCUGGGGAGUACGGCCGCAAGGCUGAAACUCAAAGGAAUUGACGGGGGCCCGCACAAGCGGUGGAGCAUGUGGUUUAAUUCGAAGCUACGCGAAGAACCUUACCAGGUCUUGACAUACUAUGCAAAUCUAAGAGAUUAGACGUUCCCUUCGGGGACAUGGAUACAGGUGGUGCAUGGUUGUCGUCAGCUCGUGUCGUGAGAUGUUGGGUUAAGUCCCGCAACGAGCGCAACCCUUAUUAUCAGUUGCCAGCAUUAAGUUGGGCACUCUGGUGAGACUGCCGGUGACAAACCGGAGGAAGGUGGGGAUGACGUCAAAUCAUCAUGCCCCUUAUGACCUGGGCUACACACGUGCUACAAUGGAUGGUACAACGAGUUGCGAACUCGCGAGAGUAAGCUAAUCUCUUAAAGCCAUUCUCAGUUCGGAUUGUAGGCUGCAACUCGCCUACAUGAAGUCGGAAUCGCUAGUAAUCGCGGAUCAGCAUGCCGCGGUGAAUACGUUCCCGGGCCUUGUACACACCGCCCGUCACACCAUGAGAGUUUGUAACACCCAAAGUGCGGUGGGGUA